RNAcentral lists this transfer RNA (74 nucleotides) under Nematostella vectensis (starlet sea anemone). It matches the Rfam family "tRNA". Rfam says of the family: Transfer RNA (tRNA) molecules are approximately 80 nucleotides in length. Their secondary structure includes four short double-helical elements and three loops (D, anti-codon, and T loops). The record is from Rfam by way of RNAcentral. Lineage: Eukaryota; Metazoa; Cnidaria; Anthozoa; Actiniaria; Edwardsiidae.
GACAGAAUAACUCAGUUGGUUAGAGUGUUGGUUUGUCAAGCCAAAGGUCGCAGGUUCAAGUCCUGUUUCUGUCG